Molecule: long non-coding RNA, 202 nt
Filed under: Helianthus annuus (common sunflower)
Lineage: Eukaryota; Viridiplantae; Streptophyta; Magnoliopsida; Asterales; Asteraceae
Description: hypothetical non coding rna
Source: RNAcentral
UGAUACACCAACAGCUGGUGAGAGGAAACUAAGGUUACUGUACAACCUUGAAACUUGAACUAAACAGGUCAUGUUGGAUCAGUCAAACUGAUUAGACAUCUCUCUACAACACAUAAAGGUGUUUUCGAGACACACAAACCUGAAACAUACCCAAAGAGGCAAGGCUAACCCUGCAAGCAACAUCGGGGAAGGAUAAGCUUAC